AUUGAACGCUGGCGGCAUGCUUUACACAUGCAAGUCGAACGGCAGCACGGGCUUCGGCCUGGUGGCGAGUGGCGAACGGGUGAGUAAUGCAUCGGAACGUGCCCAUGUUGUGGGGGAUAACUACGCGAAAGCGUGGCUAAUACCGCAUACGCCCUGAGGGGGAAAGCGGGGGAUUCUUCGGAACCUCGCGCAAUUGGAGCGGCCGAUGUCAGAUUAGCUUGUUGGUGAGGUAAAGGCUCACCAAGGCGACGAUCUGUAGCGGGUCUGAGAGGAUGAUCCGCCACACUGGGACUGAGACACGGCCCAGACUCCUACGGGAGGCAGCAGUGGGGAAUUUUGGACAAUGGGGGCAACCCUGAUCCAGCCAUGCCGCGUGAGUGAAGAAGGCCUGGUUGUAAGACUCUUCUGCCGGAGAAACGACACGACUCUAACAUAGUCGUGUGGAGUGACGGUACCGGACCGAACGAAGACGACCGGCCGUAACUACGUAGCC
This 493-nucleotide ribosomal RNA is filed under the name uncultured bacterium. RNAcentral's name for it is "bacterial SSU rRNA". It matches the Rfam family "Bacterial small subunit ribosomal RNA", at positions 29 to 516 of the family's 1533-position model. The record is from RNAcentral.